Oncorhynchus tshawytscha (Chinook salmon) is the source of this 540-nucleotide long non-coding RNA. The record is from Ensembl. NCBI's taxonomy places the organism in Eukaryota, Metazoa, Chordata, Actinopteri, Salmoniformes, Salmonidae.
GGUGGCAGGUGAAUCUGGAGGGUAGGUGGUCUGUGGUGACAGGUGAAUCUGGAGGGUAGGUGGUCUGAGGUGACAGGUGAAUCUAGAGGGUGGAUGGGAUGUGGUGGCAGGUGAAUCUGGAGGGUAGGUGGUCUGUGGUGACAGGUGAAUCUAGAGGGUGGAUGGGAUGUGGUGGCAGGUGAAUCUGGAGGGUAGGUGGUAUGGGGUGGCAGGUGAAUUUGGAGGGUAGGUGGUCUGUGGUGGCAGGUGAAUCUGGAGGGUAGGUGGUCUGUGGUGACAGGUGAAUCUAGGGGGUGGAUGGGAUGUGGUGGCAGGUGAAUCUGGAGGGUAGGUGGUCUGUGGUGGCAGGUGAAUCUGGAGGGUAGGUGGUCUGUGGUGACAGGUGAAUCUGGAGGGUAGGUGGUCUGUGGUGGCAGGUGAAUCUGGAGGGUAGGUGGUAUGGGUGGCAGGUGAAUAUGGAGGGUAGGUGGUCUGUGGUGGCAGGUGAAUCUGGAGGGUAGGUGGUCUGUGGUGACAGGUGAAUCUGGAGGGUAGGUGGUC